Molecule: long non-coding RNA, 482 nt
Organism: Tachysurus fulvidraco (yellow catfish)
Lineage: Eukaryota; Metazoa; Chordata; Actinopteri; Siluriformes; Bagridae
Exons: 3
Source: RefSeq, a predicted model, not a curated record
CCGCCCUCUCGUGGGACCCCAUUCAUGGUUUUCCCCAGGACAAUAUUGUCCCGCUGUUGUUGGAGUGGGCUGUCUGUUAUCUCAGGUUGAUCUGGUUGUCCGGAUCCCUUCUGAGGGAUGAGAGGGUUAAGUCCAUGGGUAUGACUGUGCUGCUGUUUUGCCUCUGCGAAUAUUGUUGUGGGUCGCUCUGACUCCAACUCAUCACAACGGGGCUUCACUCCGUGUACCGGUAUUACAGUCGGCCGUUCUGUGUUUGUUUCACGUGAACUCUGCAUUUACCAAAAUCUGUAUUAGUGAUUGUAAAUCUAGUAAAUUUGCAUGUACUAACUAUCGUUAACCGACACCAUCUCAUACUGUCAACCAAGUAGGUCUUUUGCCCCCUUUGAAUCUGGGCUAUUUGGUUAAAUUAGUGAUUAGUUUUGUUAUUUUGGUUUGAUUUAUAUUGUGAGUAUGUUUAGAUUAAACUGAGGGGAAUUAAUGUU